UACGGAGGGUGCAAGCGUUAUCCGGAUUCACUGGGUUUAAAGGGUGCGUAGGCGGCUCUGUAAGUCGGUGGUGAAAUCUCCGGGCUUAACCCGGAAACUGCCAUUGAUACUAUUUGUCUUGAAUACUGUGGAGGUCAGCGGAAUAUGUCAUGUAGCGGUGAAAUGCUUAGAUAUGACAUAGAACACCAAUGGCGAAGGCAGCUGGCUGCACAAAUAUUGACACUGAGGCACGAAAGCGUGGGGAGCAAACAGG
RNAcentral lists this ribosomal RNA (253 nucleotides) under uncultured bacterium. RNAcentral's name for it is "partial 16S ribosomal RNA". It matches the Rfam family "Bacterial small subunit ribosomal RNA", at positions 524 to 776 of the family's 1533-position model. The record is from RNAcentral.